This 253-nucleotide ribosomal RNA is filed under the name uncultured bacterium. Its description in RNAcentral is "partial 16S ribosomal RNA". It matches the Rfam family "Bacterial small subunit ribosomal RNA", at positions 524 to 776 of the family's 1533-position model. The record is from RNAcentral.
UACGUAGGGGGCGAGCGUUGUCCGGAUUUAUUGGGCGUAAAGAGCGUGUAAGCGGUUCGGUAAGUCUGUCGUGAAAUCCUGAGGCUCAACCUCGGGCGUGCGAUGGAUACUGCCGGGCUAGAGGGUGGUAGAGGCGAGUGGAAUUCCCGGUGUAGCGGUGAAAUGCGUAGAGAUCGGGAGGAAGGCCGGUGGCGAAGGCGGCGCUCUGGAACAUUUCUGACGCUGAGGCUCGAAAGCGUGGGGAGCAAACAGG